AAAACUAUAUAUUUAACGUCAUAAAACAUAUUCAGUAAAAAUGAAAUCAUAACUUGAGUGACCUUUAUUACAGAUUUUAUGGAACGGCGUACGAAACGUACUUGUACACCGGGUGUAGGAGGCAACGAUUCCCCACACAGGAGCAUCUCACUUCUCACGCACGCGAAAACACGUGGUUCCGUUGGUCGGUACACCGUGCUGUUGUUGUCGUCCGCAUAGACAAGUUACUAUGCGGUCGAGUACGCUCCUCGACGCUUUGGCACACCUUAUCCGUACAGGGUUUGCUCAUGCUCACAAAAACAUUCUACAAUGGACGAAUUAUAUUACCGAUACAAUUUUUUUAGUCAAUAAAAUUAUUUUUUUUUAGUUUACUCGUUUUAUCAUAAUUAAUAAAAAAUAUUUUAUUAUAUUUUUAAAAAAUAUAUAUAAUUAAUAGUAAUAAUACGAUGCAAGUGGAAUAUUGUAGACGUUCUCUGUGCUCACCUCCGGAUAAACAGGGUCCGGCGGUUGGACCAUUGACUGUCACUUCACCACCCCAACUCCCAAUCUGAGUCGUCUGAGUGCUGUAGAGGGCAUCCUGGCCGUUCGUCUCGCCUGACGCAUUUUGUACUCGGGCGAAAUAGCAUAAAACUCAAAUUGAAUUCGACUAUUUCACCAACCAUCCUAAAACAAGUGGAAAAGGACUUAAUAGUCGGUAUCCGAGAUUCCAAAUUCGAAUCACAGUUGAUUCACAUUUCUAACUAGGUUUAUUUCUAAAAAAAAUAAAUAAAGCGGGUAACGUGCUACCUAUCUCUCUCAAAAAAAAAAAAGUCAUAAAACUUAUGAAAAAGGGUUUAAAUUUA
Molecule: long non-coding RNA, 842 nt
Filed under: Ananas comosus (pineapple)
Lineage: Eukaryota; Viridiplantae; Streptophyta; Magnoliopsida; Poales; Bromeliaceae
Description: long non-coding RNA (ACOM_LNC011179)
Source: RNAcentral